CCACCGCGGUUAGACGAGAGGCCCUAGUUGACCAAACAACGGCGUAAAGGGUGGUUAAGGAUAUAUCAAAAUAAAGCCAAAUGGCCCUUUGGCCGUCAUACGCUUCUAGGUGUCCGAAGCCCUAAUACGAAAGUAGCUUUAAUAACCCACCUGACCCCACGAAAGCUGAGAAACAAACUGGGAUUAGAUACCCCACUAUGCUCAGCCGUAAACUUAGACACCCAACUACAAUUUGGUGUCCGCCAGGGUACUACGAGCAUUAGCUUAAAACCCAAAGGACCUGACGGUGUCUCAGACCCCCCUAGAGGAGCCUGUUCUAGAACCGAUAACCCCCGUUAAACCUCACCACUCCUAGUCACCCCAGCCUAUAUACCGCCGUCGUCAGCUUACCCUGUGAAGGCAACAAAAGUAAGCAAAAUGGGCACAACCCAGAACGUCAGGUCGAGGUGUAGCGAAUGAAGUGGAAAGAAAUGGGCUACAUUUUCUAUUACAGAACAUAACGAACAUGCACUAUGAAAUAAUGCUUGAAGGAGGAUUUAGUAGUAAAAAGGAAAUAGAGUGUCCCUUUGAACCCGGCUCUGAGACGCGUACACACCGCCCGUCACUCUCCCCUGUCAAAACGCACCAAAAAUACCUAAUUAACUAGCAAUGACGAGGGGAGGCAAGUCGUAACACG
This 676-nucleotide ribosomal RNA is filed under the name Labiobarbus leptocheilus. Its description in RNAcentral is "partial 12S ribosomal RNA". It matches the Rfam family "Bacterial small subunit ribosomal RNA", at positions 512 to 1495 of the family's 1533-position model. The record is from RNAcentral. Lineage: Eukaryota; Metazoa; Chordata; Actinopteri; Cypriniformes; Cyprinidae.